UGAAGUUUGAAACAUUUAUCAAUUAAAUGCCCAGACUUCUUACAGUAUCUACAGAACAACGAUCCUCUACCUUGAUCAAAGUUGACUCUUUGUUUGAAAGAAGAAAAAGUAUUAGGCAUUGUAGCCUUAUUAGAGUUAACUGGCUUCCUGUUAGAGUAGGCAUUAAAAGAGACAGAAUCCGGAUUAAAAUGAGAGGGAGA
This 200-nucleotide long non-coding RNA is filed under the name Nicotiana benthamiana. RNAcentral describes it as "long non-coding RNA (NBEN_LNC000021)". The record is from RNAcentral. Lineage: Eukaryota; Viridiplantae; Streptophyta; Magnoliopsida; Solanales; Solanaceae.